UCAUCCGCACCCCAAAAGAGCUGUUUUUAAGCUGCAUUUCAUCCUUUUCUGUAGUUGUUCUUAGGUUCUGCCUGCUUCAGUUACUGCUGAGACAGGGUAAUUAGCUGUCAUCUUGUCAAAGAGCAUGCUCAUUUCACUUUGCCAUUCUUCAUUUCACUUCAGGUUUGCUAAUUUUGCUCGUGUUGGCUUCAGCUCUUGCUGCUCCUGCCAAUUCGACAGUGGGACAGCUGUUUAAGAAAGGCACCAAAUAAAACUGAAAGUGCAUAAAGUGGCAUUUACAGAAAGAUGGUUUCUCAAGGAGAGGGGUGUUUGACUGAGGAAAUGAGGACCCAUGCAACACUGAGGAAAAUGCAGUACUGUGUGGAAGUCAGCACUGUGGGAAAUGGCUCUCAACACUUUCUGGAAGCCCCCAAUGGGAAGAACUGGAACCACCAGAAUGUACAUCCCAGUCCCAUCCUUGCAAGGCAACUGAGAAGGAUGUCAUGGUUAAUGGUUGAAAGCUGUUCUUGAAAAAAUAAUAAUCAGAGAAGGAAGCAAGCCUGCCUGGAGCAUGAAGGAGGGUUAAGAAGAAGAAGAAGAAGAAGAAGAAGAAGAAGAAGAAGAAGAAGAAGAAGAAGAAGAAGAAGAAGAAGAAGAGGGAAUCAGUGCUGGGUGGCUUUGAGUCAGAGUCUUCUCAGCCUACCUACAUCACAGGGUUAUUGUGAGGAGAAACAAUUGCUGUCCAGAGCAGAGGAGAGCAGGUGAUAGGGCUAGGAUACUUCUUGGGUGCAGACCAAGACUUGACUACAAGUAGCAGCUGUGAUUGAAAGGAUGCUAUGACUCAAGUGUAACCACAGCCCAUGUCGUAGUAUUUAAGAGAAUGUCUUCUUCGCCAUGAACCCCGUCGCCUAUUGAGAUCAUCCGGAGAGUUUUUGGAAGAACUUGGGUCUGAUCCAGAUUAAUCUGAAGUGAGCUUGAUAGAGCUCACCUAUCUCCAGAAAGCACCAAACAUACUGAAACACAAAGACCCUCCCAUUUCUUGCCACAGAAUCCCUCCCACCCUCUUGUGGAAGUACGAUGGAACAAACCAGCCUUCUUUCCCAUCUGUUUCUGGCGGGGAAGGGGGCCAGUUAGAAAUGCUGAUGUUUACUAUAUUGCUAGCUCAUUGUACUGUAAAAUGAUAUUUGCUACUCCUUUCCUCUUUCCUGUAAAAUAUAUUUUGGCAGUGAUGUCCCUUCCCUAGUUUUCUCUGGUUUUGUUAAUUUUGUUUUGUAUCCUAUAGAUUGUUCCAAAAUUGAAAAUUAAAUUUUCUUUU
This is a long non-coding RNA of Hemicordylus capensis (graceful crag lizard), 1294 nucleotides long. RefSeq lists it as uncharacterized. Lineage: Eukaryota; Metazoa; Chordata; Lepidosauria; Squamata; Cordylidae. The record is from RefSeq and is a predicted model, not a curated record. The transcript is spliced from 5 exons.